Molecule: ribosomal RNA, 337 nt
Filed under: uncultured Eocercomonas
Lineage: Eukaryota; Cercozoa; Cercomonadida; Cercomonadidae
Description: bacterial SSU rRNA
Rfam family: Eukaryotic small subunit ribosomal RNA (bases 123-337)
Source: RNAcentral
GAUUUCUGGUUUGAUUUGCCUGUCCCGCCACGGUUAACGUGUGUGUGUGACUAAGUAGAUCUACCAUCCUUCUAGAUGAAUCAAAAAUCUGGGAUUUAUUUACUUAAAUUCCAGAUUUUCUUCUAGAUCUUUUACUUUGAAAAAAUUAGAGUGUUUCAAGCAGGCGUAUAGCAGCUAUGAAUACAUUAGCAUGGAAUAAUAAUUUAGGACUUCGGUUCUAUUUUGUUGGUUUCUAGGACUGAAGUAAUGAUUGAUAGGGACAGUUGGGGGUGCUAGUAUUCAUUGGCCAGAGGUGAAAUUCUUGGAUUCAAUGAAGACUAACUUAUGCGAAAGCAUU